GGAAGACAGGUUUCUACCUAGUAUAAGGAAGCCCUUUCUGACAACUAGAGGUCCCCAGAGGGCCCAGGUGAGAAAGUCACCAUCACUGAGGACCUCGGGCUGACACUGGAUCAGUAUCUAGGGGGGCCGCUGCCGAGGUUGGGAGAUUGGGUCCGUGACCCUGAGAUUCAAUGGUUUGGGGCACUUGGUAUAUCCAGAAGCAGGACAAGGCCUAGCAGCUGUUCACCAGCUGCCUUCCAUGUGGCCAUCUUGCAGUUUAUUCCCAGAUGGUCAGACCCCUCACCCUCCGAGGUCACAGGGCCAGCUGCAGGGGAGUGGGCCAGCCCUUCUUCGCUCUGGGAGCCCUCGGGCGGGCAGGACGCAGAGAGGAGGAGAGAGAUGAAGCCGAGAGCCCCUCUGGGAAGAGAGAACCAGCCUUUCACAUUCCAGGGGAACUCAGAGACUGGAGCCCCGGCAGCUACCCCAGCUCUGGGGGGCAAGGCUGGCAGAUGAGGCAGGAGAGUGAGAAAGAACCAGUGAAGGAUACCCUCAAUAUCUGGGGCCCCCAUGGUCAGACCCCAGCCACUAUCCGCUCUCACAAGGACUUCCUACUGGCUUCAGAGAAGACAUGCUCCCACCUCCACCCCACCCCCUCGCCUGACUGCCAGCUGGCCAGCGUGCGAGGCCACAGUUAACAGGCAGCUGGAAGGGAAAACAAAAGGAGUGACUGACGGGCACACACUCACCUGGCUUCCUACACAUCAGCAAGAUAUGUGUUUCUUGCCAAAGAGCAUCCGGGGAUCCCAGAGCCUGUGCACCACUCCUCCCCACCCCCCGGAGCGUCUUCUCUCCUCUUCUUCCCAGGCUAACAUCCUACCAUCUGCUCCCAAGAUGACCGAUAUUGCCCACCUUACUUCCCUGGGGAUGGAUGGGUCCAGGACUCAUCCCUCCCCCAGGUGCUAUAAUUUGAGGCGCUGCCCAGCUGGAAUGGACCCGGGGCCUCCCCAGGCUGCCCUCCCGCCACUGAAGAAAAUAUAACAACUGCUGAAAUCAUUGUUCUUGGACUCCAUCGGAAAGGGCUCUUCUUCCCCACCUCCUUCCUGCCUCCCUCCACGGAAGAGUGCAUUUGCCAGGGCUUCCACCAGGUCUGGGAGACAGACUAGGGGAGGGCAGGAGAGGGGGCUCAUGAGAUCCUAGCUAUAGGGCUAGGACUGAGGAACCAUCACUCUCCUGACCAUGUGAAUGAGGUUGGUUGAAAACAGGGCUCUUUGAGUUUGAGUUUGAAGUUUUAUGAUUUGUUUUUUCUUUUUCUUCCAUGAAGAGUAAGGAUAAGCACCAAGUGGGUGCCCAGCAAAGGUUGGGUGCAAGACCCUGUGAUGCUUUAUUUGGACAUUAUCCACUGCCAGUCCAUCCCCAGAGCUGUGGCCUUGGCUCUCUCCCAGUGAUGAUUUCUGGUUUCCCUUCUCCCCCAGCUGCCUGGGGCAGGCUGAGGAGGAUUCAUAGUGUGGUGUCUAGAGGUUGGGGGGUCAGAAGGAUUCUGGUCCUGGUUAGCUAUGUGACCCUCAGCCAUUCUUUUAAACUUUCAGGGCCUCAGUUACCUUAUAUUUAAGUUUGUUUGUUUGUUUGUUUAAGAGAGAGAAUGUGCUUGCAGAGGCAGAGGAAGAGGGAGACAGACUCCACGCUGGGCCCCCAGGGGCUCAACAUGGGGCUCGAUCCCACGACCCUGAGAUCCUGACCCAAGCCAAAAUCAAGAGUCAGCAGCUCAACCGACUGAGCCACCCAGGUGGCUCACAGUUGCCUUAUAUUUAUCUAUUUAUUUGUUUGUUUUAUUAAAAAUAUACAUUUUUUUUUAAUUUGAGAGAAAGAGAAAGAGAAUAAGCAGGGGGGAGAGGGAGAAGCAGGUUCCCCAUGGAGAAUGGAGCCCAAUAUGGGGCUCAAUCCCUCCCAGGACCCUGGGAUCAUAACCUGAGCCGAAGGCAGAUGCUUCCCCAUCUGAGCCACCCAGGUGCCCCAAUUGCCUUAUAUUUAAAAGCAGUGCUCAACGAUGGUCUUCACACUUCUUUUAUCUAAAGUAAACUUUAUGCCCAACAUGGGGCUCAAACACAUGACACCAAGAUCAAGAGUUGCAUGUUCUACUGACUGAGCCAGCCAGGCACCCUUCUUCAUACUUUUUUUUAAGCAUCUGACUCUUGGUUUCAGCUCAGGUCAUGAUCUCAUGGGUUGUGAGAUCCACCCCCUUGUGGGGCUCUGCGCUCAGUGGAGUCUGCUUAAGACUCUCUGCCUUAAAAAAAAAAAAAAAAAAGGACUCUCUCUCCCUUGGGGAUCCCUGGGGGGCUCAGCCCUUUAGCGCUGCCUUCAGCCCAGGGCAUGAUCCUGGAGUCCUGGGAUUGAGUCCCACAUCAGGCUCCCUGCGUGGAGCCUGCUUCUCCCUCUGCCUGUGUCUCUGCCUUUCUCUCUCUCUGUCUCUCUCAUUCUCUCUCUCUGUGUCUCUCAUGAAUAAAAUAAAAAAAAAAAAAAAAAAAAAAAUAAGA
This is a long non-coding RNA of Vulpes vulpes (red fox), 2510 nucleotides long. Lineage: Eukaryota; Metazoa; Chordata; Mammalia; Carnivora; Canidae. The record is from Ensembl.